Bactrocera oleae (olive fruit fly) is the source of this 2054-nucleotide non-coding RNA. Lineage: Eukaryota; Metazoa; Arthropoda; Insecta; Diptera; Tephritidae. The record is from RefSeq and is a predicted model, not a curated record.
UUUGCACAUAUUUUUCAAAUAACUUAGUUGUUGUUGUGGCGUCAGAACUCUGUAGAAUUCUGAUCACUUAGCUGUAAUACGAGUUUAUCGAGUUAGACAUUUUCUUGUGAAAAAAUACUGACGAAAUGUAACAGUCGCAAUUUCUUUUACGCAGCAAUCUGAUGGUAUGGACGAAUAGAGGCCAACGGCUGCGCCUAAAAAAAAGAAUCCUGGUCAGUCCAAAACCGGGCUGUCGAACAGAACCGUCCGAGGUGUCAAUAGUUCUUUGGUAUCGAACUCCUUUCAGCACGUAUAAUAACUAUGGAUGCUCCAAAGUUCGACGCGAAUGAAUUAUGAACCCCUCGGUUCUGGACUGACCAGGAUUAUUUUUUUUAAGCGCGGCCGAUGGUCGCCAGUGCAGAAAGGAGUUACCACGCAAAAUAACAGUUUAAACUUUACAGCUUGAAGUGUUGCCACCUUCUUCAGGAUUCUUUUUGAACGUGUCUGUGAAAAUUUAGAAAAAUGCAUUCUUUGCUUCGAAUAUGGCGGCAAAGUAAUAUUAGCAACAAUAACAACAAAGCACACUGUUUUCUUUCCUCAUCACCUCGCUAUGCAUCAAAUCACUCCGGAACUAAAGUUAUUAGAUCACCUACUCGGGUGGCGCCUCGAAACUCCAUCGGAAGUAAAUUAAGCCGUUCCCCAGCAUUGGAACGCCAUUUUGGAUUGAAUUCUGUACGUUUGAUGUCAAAAGAUGAAAAACGAGGAUUCGAGGCCGUAUUGCCAGGAUUCUAAAAACAUUGAGAAAACGGUGCCCUAGCGAAAAAAAAUUUUAAGAACUCUCUACUACUAAUUAAGUGGCACACACCUUUACACAAAUUUUGUUUCUUAAAGAUGUUUUGCGUGACCUUGGCUCAAUAGCUGAACAAUACAAAAGCAAAGAAGCGGGUGAAUGGUUCAGGAAGUCUCUGCAGUAUAAUUUAUCACUUACAAAUUACAAAAAUGGCCUAAUCCCCGUUUUGACAUACAAAAGUUUAGCAAAAGGCGAGCAACUCCGUGCGGAACAUUUAAGAUUGGCACAUAUACUUGGCUGGUGUUUUGAAAUGAUGUUGUGCUUCAUACUCAUAGCCGAUGACAUGGUGGACAAAAGCACAAUACGUCGUGGUCAAUUAUGUUGGCAUAAAUUGGAGGAGGUCGGUCUCUCUGCCAUAAAUGAUAUAAUCCUGAUAGAGAACGGAAUUUAUGAGCUUCUCAACAAACAUUUUCGCCACUUGGAUUGCUAUGUUGAUCUUCUCGAAUUGUUUCAUCAAAACAUUUUUAAAUGUUUAUGUGGGCAAUCAUUAGAUUUCCUUCUCACUAAAAGGAAUGUGACUACCUUCAAUAUGGAGACAUAUGAUUCAUUAGUGAUGAAUAAGACUUCCUGCCAUUUUUUUUAUUUGCCCGUUUUUGUAGGGAUGCAUUUGGCAGGUGUGAAUGAUAAAAAUGUCUUCGACGAAUCCCAGAGCAUUUUAUUUGACUUGGGUCAUUAUUCCCAAGUUCAAAAUGAUUUUCACGACUGUUUUGGUAAAUAUGAAUACACUGGCAAAAUCGGCACAGAUAUUGAAACCAACAAAUGCUCCUGGUUGGCGGUGAAGUGUAUGGAACUGGCAAACACACAACAAAAGUCUAUUAUGGCAGAAUGCUACGGACAUAACGAUCCUCAGAAGAUAGAUCGCGUUAAGCACGUUUAUGAAGAAUUGGAUAUGCUCAAUAUUUAUGCCAAAUAUGAAGAAGAUACCUGCAACAAUAUUCUUAUGAAUAUCCAAAAAACAUCAGAUACAGUGCCCCGAGAGAUUUUGAUAGAAAUUCUUUGUCAAAUUUAUGACAAAGAAAUUAAAUAAAGACAUGAACUACAAAAGAACAAAAAAUAAACUACUUAAUUUUUUUGCGGUGUUAUCAAAGAAUUUCCAUUAUUUUCUAUGAACCAAGUGAACUGUAUCAAAAUUUUGCCUUGCUUCCUAAUAUUUAUUUAAAGCGCUUCUAAAAUAUUUCGAUAAUUAAUUGUUUCUAAUAAAAACAUAGCUGUAAUUUUGACCGUA